Molecule: long non-coding RNA, 265 nt
Filed under: Bos taurus (domestic cattle)
Lineage: Eukaryota; Metazoa; Chordata; Mammalia; Artiodactyla; Bovidae
Description: long non-coding RNA NONBTAT022943
Source: RNAcentral
CGAGUGAAUGGAUUUCACCAUUACUGACAGCAGUCAGCUGGGAAAUGUCUCAUGGCCUUGCUUAUAUGGCUGAGGAUAAGGGACAGUGAGCACCCAGGAGAGCACCUCAGGAUGGGUGUCCUGGCAGUGGGCAACCCCCACCUGAGCGAGGAGUCAGAACUAGUCCUAUUUCAAACACCACAGCCCAAAGAAACAAACAGCUCUUUCUUAUUUCCUCCCAGUUCCACAAGCAAGGUUUGGGUUUUGUAUGUCAGUUUCAGUUGAA